GGCUAGAUGGACGUCAUGGCUACAAUAUGUGUCUCACAUUUUAUUGUCUCGAAUAUAUAGUUACACACAAGGUUGUUUUUAUUGAUCUCAGUUUGUCAGAUCAGCCUGCCAUGUUGUGGUAUUAUAAUCAGUGUCUGUAGGUGUCUCUGUGUCUCUGUGUCUCUGUGUCUCUGUGUGCCUCUGUGUCGGUGUCUGUGUGUAUGGCUGUGUGUGUGUGUUGCUGUCUCUGUGUGUCUGUGGGUGUCUCUGUGUGUCUGUGUCUCUGUGUGUGUGUGUCUCUGUGUCUCUGUGUCUCUGUGUCUCUGUAUCUCUGUGUCUCUGUGUCUCUGUGUCUCUGUGUCUCUGUGUGUCUGUGUCUCUGUGUCUCUGUGUCUCUGUGUGUCUGUGUCUCUCUGUGUGUGUGUGAAGGUGUCUCUGUCUCUCUGUGUCUCUGUGUGUCUGUGUCUCUGUGUGUGUGUCUGUAGGUGUGCAUGUGUCUCGGUGUGUCUGUGGGCGUCUCUGCGUCUCUAUGUGUCUGUAGGUGUCUCUGCGUCUCUGUGUGUCUGUAGGUGUCUCUGUGUGUUUGUGUCUCUGCGUCUCUGUGUGUCUGUAGGUGUCUCUGUGUCUCUGUGUGUCUGUGUGUCUCUGUGUGUCUGUGUCUGUAGGUGUCUCUGUGUGUAUGUGUGUCUCUGUGUGUCUGUGUCUCUCUGUGUCUGUAAGUGUCUCUGUGUCUGUGGGUGUCCCUGUGUCUGUGGGUGUCUCUGUGUCUCUGUGUCUAUGUGUGUCUGUAGGUGUCUGUGUGUGUGUCUGUAGGUGUCUGUGUGUGUGUCUGUAGGUGUCUGUGUGUGUGUCUGUAGGUGUCUCUAUGUGUGUCUGUAGGUGUCUCUAUGUGUGUCUGUGGGUGUCUCUGUGUGUCUGUAGGUGUCUGUGUGUGUGUCUGUAGGUGUCUCUCUGUGUGUCUGUAGGUGUCUCUCUGUGUGUCUGUAGGUGUCUGUGUGUGUGUCUGUAGGUGUCUGUGUGUGUGUCUGUAGGUGUCUGUGUGUAUGGCUGUGUGUGUGUCUGUGUGUCUGUGUGUAUGGCUGUGUGUGUGUCUGUGUGUAUGGCUGUGUGUGUGUCUGUGUGUCUGUAGGUGUCUGUGUGUGUGUCUGUGUGUAUGGCUGUGUGUGUGUCUGUGUGUCUGUAGGUGUCUGUGUGUGUCUCUGUGUGUGUCUGUGUGUAUGGCUGUGUGUGUGUCUGUAGGUGUCUGUGUGUGUCUCUGUGUGUGUCUGUGUGUAUGGCUGUGUGUGUGUCUGUGUGUCUGUAGGUGUCUGUGUGUGUCUCUGUGUGUGUCUGUGUGUGUCUGUGUGUCUGUAGGUGUCUCUAUGUGUGUCUGUAGGUGUCUGCGUGUGUGUCUGUAGGUGGCUGUGUGUGUGUGUUGGUGUCUCUGUUAGAGGUCAACCGAUUAAUUAGGGCCGAUUUCAAGUUUUCAUAACAAUCGGUAAAUCUUUUUUUUUUUUUUACACCUCUAUU
Molecule: long non-coding RNA, 1488 nt
Filed under: Salmo salar (Atlantic salmon)
Lineage: Eukaryota; Metazoa; Chordata; Actinopteri; Salmoniformes; Salmonidae
Description: lncRNA (ENSSSAG00000106916.1)
Source: RNAcentral